CGAAUAGAUGAUGAGAAAUACAUAUAUAGAAAUACAAUAGAGUUUUGAACUUUGAUAAUUUUUUCACGCAACCAGUCCAAUCUUUGUCAGCAUUAGGAAUAGUAAUAGCGAGUAAAGAUAUAUGUUCUGAUUUAGAAAUAUUCAAAAUAAGUGAUAUAAAUUAUAAAUAUACAGCUUUGCCUUAUGGAGAACAAAUCGUCAUGAUGCCCAUUCUUCAUAACGUCAUCUGAUCGCUUCUAGCGAGUUUACCAAUAUAAAUACAACGAAUAACACUAAAUUAGAAGAAAAACUUGAUAUCAUUAUAGCCAACCAAAAAAAAAAGAUGUGGGCUCCUAUGGAACGAGAAGUGUGUUCCCGUUGCCCAACUUGGAAGCAUUAAAAAAACUGAAUGCAGAUAUAGUGGCAGGUUCCAGUGCAGACUAUAUAAAAAUCAUUAAAAAUAUAAUAGGCAAAACGGGGAUUAUUAAAUCUAUUGAGGGUAUUUUCGAAAGGAGUCUUAUUGUUCAGUUGAACUACGAUGGCAUUCAUUCCAAAUACUCCUUAAAGGAAUGCAAGGUGUUAAUCGACUGCUUGUUUGAGGCAUCAAUGAAAGAAGGAUAUUCCCAUGGCGAGUUUGUUAAAGACUUGCGACAAGCUUUAAAACUGGCGAAAAAUCGUCAUUUUAAAACAAACUCCAUAUUAAAAUCUAAAAAAUAAAAUAUUUAAAUAAAAUUAAU
Molecule: long non-coding RNA, 716 nt
Organism: Zeugodacus cucurbitae (melon fly)
Lineage: Eukaryota; Metazoa; Arthropoda; Insecta; Diptera; Tephritidae
Exons: 5
Source: RefSeq, a predicted model, not a curated record